UUUCUCACAUCAUGAGGUCAGCAACCUAAACUAUUAAAUUAAAAGAAAAACAAAAAUUGCUCAUAAUGUUAAUUCAAAGUAAAUAGAAACAUAAGAAGUACAAUUUCUUAUGAAAAUAAAAAAACAAAAAGAAAAACUAUAUUUCAGAUGAAAUUAUUAUUCUAUUAAGAGAUAUUGAACAAAGAUCUACAGAAGUUAAGAAAUUUGCAUCAUUAAUGUCAAAAAACACCUUAGAUACUAAUGCUACUCUGUUUUAUUCUAUGUCAUUUAUCAUGACAGUGGAUCAACUAAAUCUAAAAAUUAGGAUUAAACUAAUUCCAAAAACCUUUGCUUUUUGCUGUAGCUUGGUGUUGUCUCUCCUCUAUCUCCAACUUUAAAUAAUUCAAUUUCCCAUUUGACAUUUUGCAUUUUAACAUUUAUUGAUUUAAUGGGGUUAUAGAAUAUUAUCAUUUUAAUUUAUACCAUAAGGCAGUGAUGGGGACGUCCAGGGAGAAUUUUACAAAAGACUAUGGUUAUUUGAAAAAGGUUGGUAUUCUAAGUGAUGAGGCUGAAAGGUUAGAUUAUUAAAACAAAGGUAAGCCUUCUGGUGUUAAUAGAGGGGCAGCAGAACAGAAAACAGAGCCCUCCACAUUGCUAAAACUAAUACAAACCCAGUGGUGGGGCUGGCUUCCUUGCAAAGGUGAACGUUGGAUUUGUAAGGUCAGUAUCCAUUUCUUGUAAAUGUACUGAUAAUAGGCAAAUUGAAUCCUGUGUUACUACUUUGUAAUAUACAGAGUGAUGGUGAUACAGAAGCAAUUCAAAUUCAACUUGCUAGAUGCUUUAUACAAAACUAAAUUUUUUCCAGAUCUUUCACAUAUAAUGACUCUUUAAAAAAGACCCAACGUGGUUUCUACUAUAGACAGUGCAUACCUCUGGACUCUCAACUCCAUUUGGACCCUUUUCGCACUCACCAUAAUUUUCUUGUUAUUUUACUUAUAUGCCCUAUUUCAAAUAAAUAAAUAAUAAAGGUAUAUUUACUGAGAAUAACAUUAUGCCAAAUCAUGAGCAAUAAAUUAGUUCUCAAAGAACAAGAGAGAAAAAAAUUAACCAAGUGCUAGUUUCGUUAUCAACCUACAGUAAAAACUGAUUAAUGUAUACAGCUACAAGGUUUAAAAAGAUAUGAAUUAACUUUAUAUCAAUAUGUGUACCUCAUGGUAUAAUAUUUUAAAAUAUUUCUAUGAAUUGCUCAUAUAUAAAGGGAUAGAUAUGGAAAAAGAAAAAAGAAAACCCUUUGAAUUAAAAUUAUUUUUAAAAAUAUCAAAAAAAGGGGAAAAUCACUGAUUUUAAAUGUCCUUUUCUGGUACACAUUAGUUCAAAGAAGUGAGGUGUCUUUAUUGCAAAUGAGUGAAAGAGAAAGUCUGGGUGUGGUUAAUUCACAGUCCAAAUGUAUGUGUGAGAAAAGAGAGAGGAAAAAAAUUGGGAAAUACUCACCAAUGUUUGAAAAUCUGAUAGAUAUAAAAUGAAAUUACAUAACAUGUAACAUCUGAUUAUUUCAUGUAAGUAUUUUUAUGGUUUACUGGCAAUUUGGUUUCAUUUUUCUGUGAAUUUUCUUCCUCACCACCCUCCCCCUUUUUCUAUAGAGUAGUUUACCUUUUUGCUUAUUGAUGUGUACAUUUAUCCUGGGUACUAAUUUGCUGCUUGUCAUGUAAGUACCUAUGUCAAGCAGGUACUCAUAAAAAGAUGGAAUGAAAAAUAUGCAAGAGAUUAUGAGAUCUUCACUUUAGGGUGGUGAGUAGUCUUAGAAAGGAAGGAAGAGAAUGAGUUAAGGGAGGAUAUACUUCAACUCUUUAAAAUUUUAUUUGUUAAAAUUUUUGAAGUAAAUAUGGCAAAAUAUGUUUAACCCCACCUGAGAAAUGGGACUUACUAGGAGCUCAGAUUUCUCAAAGAUGAGGGUCUAGGUGGCCCACUGGGCAAACUCAAAUUGGCAUAGGUUCUAGUCAAGAGUAGGGGAGUCAAGGGAGUGUAGAAUGGGAUGUAGAAGAGAGAGAAAAUAAAAAUCACUUCCAAACUUGAGAUCAGCUGUGACAGCAUGAGCUAAAGUUCAUCCUACUGACCAUUCUCUUUUUACUUUUCUCAGGACGAGAAACCAGUCAAAAUCCUGGAAGAACUGCUCCCAGAUGGGGUAAACUUACUAUGAAGCAUGAUACAAGCAUCACAAGAGGAAAGCAGCUAUCAUGUAAAUCAACAGAAGUUUUACUUUGUGAAAACUUGUUCUCACCUUUAGAAAAUACAACACCAGCAGCAAUGUUAAUGUUUGAGAUUCCAGAACAACACAUUCAUAUCAAUCUGUUUUCAUAGCUGUUGAAUUAACAAAUAUUCUACAAACCACAAUUUUGAUCGCUUGAAGUCAGGUUAAAUGAAAUAGCAGACCCUGUAGAAACAUAUAACUUGGAAAAUAUUUACUUUAUAAUAGUAAAUGACAUGGUAGCACUCAGAAAGCACCUUCUCAGAGGAGCUGCGAUUCUGUGCAUGCAACAAGGAAACAACUGGACCAGAAAUACAGCUGUUAAAACUUGUCAGCCCAACAGGAAUGAUGAAUCUAUGUUGAGAAAUAAAUGGGUAUUUUAUUGGAGUAAGAGUUAACUUCCAUGGAAGGAAAAAAAAAGGUGGAAGGAAAUAAAAAGCUCUGCCACAUACACUUUUGGAGGCUAUAACACAGGGAGGAAGAAGUCAGGCCCCCUCCCUUGGAAUGAAGGGGCUGACGUUCUGGACAGAACAAUCCAGAAGUAACUGAAGAGCAGAGCACUGAAGAGGAGAGAGAAGCUCAGAGAGAGAACCCUGGAGACCUACAGAGGAUCCCUGCAAGUGUUCAGCUGAGUACUGAACUGUUAUGUAAAAGGAAGUGAUCUGUAUGUAACCAGGGAAAGGGUCCUCUGAAAGGAUAAGGUGUAAUAGUGCCCUGUGCUCAUACAAGACUGAGAAUAGUGUCAGUUCCCACCAUCCACAUGGGAAAACCUCAAGGUUUAUAGGGAAGUGAGUACACAGAGUGUCUUGGGUUUUACUUAAGUAAUGAAGAGGAAUUAGCAUUAGAUCGAGCUUUGCUCCAGUCCUCCUUAGCAAACCUGUCAACAAGAACCAAAAGACAGCCAUUUCUUUUUUUUUAAAUUUU
Felis catus (domestic cat) is the source of this 3148-nucleotide long non-coding RNA. RefSeq lists it as uncharacterized. The record is from RefSeq and is a predicted model, not a curated record. The transcript is spliced from 5 exons. Lineage: Eukaryota; Metazoa; Chordata; Mammalia; Carnivora; Felidae.